GCAUUGGUGGUUCAGUGGUAGAAUUCUCGCCUGCCAUGUGGGAGACCCGGGUCCGAUUCCCGGCCAAUGCA
Non-coding RNA from Danio rerio (zebrafish), 71 nucleotides. The record is from Rfam. NCBI's taxonomy places the organism in Eukaryota, Metazoa, Chordata, Actinopteri, Cypriniformes, Danionidae.